Molecule: ribosomal RNA, 339 nt
Filed under: Triticum aestivum (bread wheat)
Lineage: Eukaryota; Viridiplantae; Streptophyta; Magnoliopsida; Poales; Poaceae
Description: partial small subunit ribosomal RNA
Source: RNAcentral
AUGAGGCACGGUGAAGACAUCAAGGACGAGUAUGAGCAGCCUGCGUUUGCCCUGGUGAACAAGGCCACCGGUGAAGCCAUCCAGCAUUCCCUGGAAAAGGGCCACCCUGUUCGCCUUGCGGCAUACGACCCGGACUGCCCGGACGAGUCGGUGAUGUGGACGGAGAGCGAGGACGUCGGCGACGACUUCCAUUGCAUCCGCAUGGCGAGCAACAUCCAGCUCAACUUCGACGCCGUCCAUGGCGGCGAGGACGAGAGCGUGGUGCAGGACGGCACCACCAUCAUCCUGUUUGACUGGGUCGAGGGAGACAACCAGCGCUGGAAGAUCGUUCCCUGGUAG